Molecule: ribosomal RNA, 566 nt
Filed under: uncultured bacterium
Lineage: Bacteria
Description: partial 16S ribosomal RNA
Rfam family: Bacterial small subunit ribosomal RNA
Source: RNAcentral
UGGGGAAUUUUGGACAAUGGGCGAAAGCCUGAUCCAGCAAUGCCGCGUGUGUGAAGAAGGCCUUCGGGUUGUAAAGCACUUUUGUCCGGAAAGAAAUCCUUGGCUCUAAUACAGUCGGGGGAUGACGGUACCGGAAGAAUAAGCACCGGCUAACUACGUGCCAGCAGCCGCGGUAAUACGUAGGGUGCAAGCGUUAAUCGGAAUUACUGGGCGUAAAGCGUGCGCAGGCGGUUCGCUAAGACCGAUGUGAAAUCCCCGGGCUCAACCUGGGAACUGCAUUGGUGACUGGCAGGCUAGAGUAUGGCAGAGGGGGGUAGAAUUCCACGUGUAGCAGUGAAAUGCGUAGAGAUGUGGAGGAAUACCGAUGGCGAAGGCAGCCCCCUGGGCCAAUACUGACGCUCAUGCACGAAAGCGUGGGGAGCAAACAGGAUUAGAUACCCUGGUAGUCCACGCCCUAAACGAUGUCAACUAGUUGUUGGGGAUUCAUUUCCUUAGUAACGUAGCUAACGCGUGAAGUUGACCGCCUGGGGAGUACGGUCGCAAGAUUAAAACUCAAAGGAAUUGAC